Ribosomal RNA from Crocodylus porosus (Australian saltwater crocodile), 115 nucleotides. The record is from Ensembl. Lineage: Eukaryota; Metazoa; Chordata; Crocodylia; Crocodylidae.
GCUGAAGGUGGCACUGAACCAAAUGCAUCCAUCUGUCAUCUCAGAAGCGAAGCAGUCCUGGGCCUGACUAGUGCUUGGUGGGGAGACCACCCGAGAAUCCUCAGUGCUGUCAGCA